Molecule: ribosomal RNA, 3379 nt
Filed under: Fructobacillus fructosus
Lineage: Bacteria; Bacillati; Bacillota; Bacilli; Lactobacillales; Lactobacillaceae
Description: bacterial LSU rRNA
Rfam family: Bacterial large subunit ribosomal RNA (bases 854-3379)
Source: RNAcentral
GUGACCNGGGGGCAUGGCCGUCGUCAGCUCGUGUCGUGAGAUGUUGGGUUAAGUCCCGCAACGAGCGCANCCCUUAUGUUUAGUUGCCAGCAUUCAGUUGGGCACUCUAGACAGACUGCCGGUGACAAACCGGAGGAAGGCGGGGACGACGUCAGGUCAUCAUGCCCCUUAUGACCUGGGCUACACACGUGCUACAAUGGCGUAUACAACGAGCAGCAAACCUGUGAAGGUAAGCGAAUCUCUUAAAGUACGUCUCAGUUCGGAUUGUAGUCUGCAACUCGACUACAUGAAGUCGGAAUCGCUAGUAAUCGCGGAUCAGCAUGCCGCGGUGAAUACGUUCCCGGGUCUUGUACACACCGCCCGUCACACCAUGGGAGUUGGUAAUGCCCAAAGCCGGUGGCCUAACCUUCGGGGAGGAGCCGUCUAAGGCAGGACUGAUGACUGGGGUGAAGUCGUAACAAGGUAGCCGUAGGAGAACCUGCGGCUGGAUCACCUCCUUUCUAAGGAUAACCGGAACGUUACAGGGACUUAAGUGUCAAUUUGAUUUGUUACAAAGUUUUGUUUAGUUUUGAGUGUGUGAACUCUACCGAAUUUGGGUACGGGGGAUUAGCUCAGCUGGGAGAGCACCUGCUUUGCAAGCAGGGGGUCAUCGGUUCGAUCCCGAUAUUCUCCAUUGGUUGCUUCGGUAACCAAGCUUGUACAUUGAAAACUGAAUAAUCAAGAAAAUCUUUUAAAAUCAAGAAAUUGAUUCUUAAAUAAACCGAGAAACAACACAAGUUCUUUAAAAGAACGGUUUAAUCGCAGGUCUGAAAAAUGACCAACUCAUAAAACUGAUCCAACUAUAAAUAGUUGUGGUUAAGUGAAUAAGGGCGCGUGGUGGAUGCCUUGGCACUAGGAGCCGAUGAAGGACGUGACUAACUACGAUAAGCUUCGGGGAGCGGUAAGUACGCUAUGAGCCGGAGAUUUCCGAAUGGGGAAACCCAACAUUAUAAUGUUAUCUAAAAGUGAAUACAUAGCUUUUAGAAGGAAUACGCUGUGAACUGAAACAUCUCAUUAGCAGCAGGAGCAGAAAGAAAAAUCGAUUCCCUGAGUAGCGGCGAGCGAAACGGGAAGAGCCCAAACCAGGAUGCUUGCAUCUUGGGGUUGUAGGACUGUCGUUGAGUUACCAAGUAAGCAUUUAGGUGAAAACGUUGGGAAGCGUUAUCAAAGAGGGUGAUAAUCCCGUAACCGAAAGAUGACUUACCUCUAGACAGGAUCCUGAGUACGGCCGGACACGAGAAAUCCGGUCGGAAUCUGCGGGGACCAUCCCGUAAGGCUAAAUACUCCCUAGUGACCGAUAGUGAACCAGUACCGUGAGGGAAAGGUGAAAAGCACCCCGGAAGGGGAGUGAAAUAGUUCCUGAAACCACGACGCCUACAAGAAGUCAGAGCCCGUUAAUGGGUGAUGGCGUGCCUUUUGUAGAAUGAACCGGCGAGUUACGGUAUCGUGCAAGGUUAAGGUGGAAAGACCGGAGCCGCAGCGAAAGCGAGUGUGAAUAGCGCGACAAGUACGAUGCUGUAGACCCGAAACCAGGUGACCUACCCAUGGUCAGGCUGAAGGUGAGGUAAAACUUACUGGAGGGCCGAACCGGUGGAAGUUAAAAAUUCCUCGGAUGAACUGUGGGUAGCGGUGAAAUUCCAAACGAACUUGGAGAUAGCUGGUUCUCUCCGAAAUAGCUUUAGGGCUAGCCUCAUUAUAAGCAUACUGGAGGUAGAGCACUGUUAAGCCUAGGGGCCCAUCUCGGGUUACCAAAGUUUGAUAAACUCCGAAUGCCAGAUAUGUAUGAAUGGGAGUCAGACGAUGAGUGAUAAGAUCCACCGUCGAAAGGGGAACAGCCCAGACUGCCAGUUAAGGUCCCCAAAUAUAUGUUAAGUGGAAAACGAUGUGAUAGUGCAUAGACAACUAGGAUGUUGGCUUAGAAGCAGCCACCAUUUAAAGAGUGCGUAAUAGCUCACUAGUCGAGUGCCAUUGCGCGGAAAAUGUACCGGGGCUAAACAUAUUACCAAACUGCAGGCGUGUUUAAUACACGCGAUAGGAGAGCGUUGUAAGGGCGGCGAAGGUAGACCGUGAGGACUGCUGGAGCGCUUACAAGUGAGAAUGCCGGUAUGAGUAGCGAAAGACAGGUGAGAAUCCUGUCCACCGAAUGACUAAGGUUUCCUGGGGAAGGCUCGUCCACCCAGGGUUAGUCGGGACCUAAGGCGAGGCUGAAAAGCGUAGUCGAUGGCUAACAGGUUGAGAUUCCUGUACUAGUACAAAGCGUUUGACCAAUGGAGGGACGCAGGAGGCUAACAGAUCACACGACUGGAUUGUGUGUCCAAGCAGUAAGUCUUGGUAAGAGUGAAAUGCUUUUACCUAUACGGACAAGCUGUGAUGGGGAGUGAAAUAAAGUAACGAAGUCUGUGACGUCACACUGCCGAGAAAAGCUUCUAGGGAGCGAUGUACUAACCGUACCGCAAACCGACACAGGUAGUCGAGUGGAGAACACUAAGGUGAGCGAGAGAACCCUCGUUAAGGAACUCGGCAAAAUGACCCCGUAACUUCGGGAGAAGGGGUGCUGGACUCCGGUCCAGCCGCAGUGAAAAGGCCCAGGCGACUGUUUAUCAAAAACACAGGUUUCUGCAAAAUCGUAAGAUGACGUAUAGGGGCUGACGCCUGCCCGGUGCUGGAAGGUUAAAAGGAGUGCUUAGACGCAAGUCGAAGGCAUGAAUUGAAGCCCCAGUAAACGGCGGCCGUAACUAUAACGGUCCUAAGGUAGCGAAAUUCCUUGUCGGGUAAGUUCCGACCCGCACGAAAGGCGUAACGAUCUGGGCACUGUCUCAACGAGGGACUCGGUGAAAUUUAAAUACCCGUGAAGAUGCGGGUUACCCGCGACAGGACGGAAAGACCCCAUGGAGCUUUACUGUAGCUUGAUAUUGAAUGUUUGUGCUGCUUGUACAGCAUAGGUAGGAGACGUUGAAGGCGAAACGCUAGUUUCGCUGGAGUCGACCAGUGGGAUACUACCCUCGUUGUAUGAACAUUCUAACUCUGGUCGGUUAUCCCGAUCGAGGACAGUGUCUGGUGGGCAGUUUGACUGGGGCGGUCGCCUGGUAAAAGGUAACGGAGGCGCUCAAAGGUUUGCUCAGGAUGGUUGGAAAUCAUCUGCUGCGUGUAAAGGCAAAAGCAAGCUUGACUGCGAGAGAGACAACUCGAGCAGGUACGAAAGUAGGACUUAGUGAUCCGGUGGUUCCGCAUGGAAGGGCCAUCGCUCAACGGAUAAAAGCUACCCUGGGGAUAACAGGCUCAUCUCCCCCAAGAGUCCACAUCGACGGGGAGGUUUGGCACCUCGAUGUCGGCUCAUCGC